Non-coding RNA from Vibrio vulnificus YJ016, 84 nucleotides. Lineage: Bacteria; Pseudomonadati; Pseudomonadota; Gammaproteobacteria; Vibrionales; Vibrionaceae. The record is from Rfam.
GCCCUGGUGGUGAAAUUGGUAGACACAAGGGAUUUAAAAUCCCUCGACUUUCGAGUCGUGCCGGUUCAAGUCCGGCCCGGGGCA